GUUCCUCUUUAAUAGCACGUGUUGGGUCGAGUAUCGCCUCGCUUUGUUGGUGGUUGCGAAUUUCGCUUUCCUCGAGGACCUAUGCUUUGACUGUUUAGUAGAACUGAAUUUUUCAAUGUUAAGAUUGCGAGAGUUUGGUGUUGAUGACGGUUACAGAAUGGUUCAGGAAAUACUGCACAAUCUGGAACUUUUUUUGCUGUCUAAACAAACUAAGCUGUUUGGGUAGUUAAUAUGUCUGACUCAUUACCAGAGUGCAUUUUCUCACUCUGGCAUAAGAUUUAAAUCAACUUUACCUUGGAGACACCACCAAUCUCACAUUGUACUUUACUUGCAAUGAGGAUUUGGUCAACCAAGAUAACUGUCCUUGUGGGGUUGCCGCCUUGUGAUGCAGUACAAAGGUUUUUAUCAGAUCUGAAAAUGGUUAAGGGUGAUUGACAACAAAUUCCCAACAGAAGGAAAGCUGAAAUGUGCUUUGGUUCAAGAGGAAAGUCAGUAAGGUAGCUCUGAAAGUUAGGAUGAACAGAAUAUUUUAUCAGCAUGAAGGUGAAGGAAAUCCAUAUAAAGCAUAAGAGUAUUCACUCUUUUAGGGGCAGAAUGAAAUCCAGUUCUAGUCUUUGGAUAUUUUUCUUCAUGAUCCUUAUUCAAACUUAUUCAUUAUUGUCCAUUCUUAGUGUUAGAAAAUUGUUUCAAGGUUAGAAAAUAAAGAAUAUCUCUGAAAGA
This is a long non-coding RNA of Pocillopora damicornis (cauliflower coral), 720 nucleotides long. The record is from RefSeq and is a predicted model, not a curated record. NCBI's taxonomy places the organism in Eukaryota, Metazoa, Cnidaria, Anthozoa, Scleractinia, Pocilloporidae.